GCGGUAAAGGAUGGCCAUGCGUCCCAUUAGCUAGUUGGUGAGGUAACGGCUCACCAAGGCGAUGAUGGGUAGGGGGCCUGAGAGGGUUAUCCCCCACACUGGAACUGAGACACGGACCAG
RNAcentral lists this ribosomal RNA (120 nucleotides) under uncultured bacterium. Its description in RNAcentral is "partial 16S ribosomal RNA". It matches the Rfam family "Bacterial small subunit ribosomal RNA", at positions 215 to 334 of the family's 1533-position model. The record is from RNAcentral.